Molecule: long non-coding RNA, 472 nt
Filed under: Rattus norvegicus (Norway rat)
Lineage: Eukaryota; Metazoa; Chordata; Mammalia; Rodentia; Muridae
Description: long non-coding RNA NONRATT009101
Source: RNAcentral
CCCCCAAGCACCCUGUGUCCUGGCUUCUAAUUCAACAAGGAACUAUUGUUGGUCAGCUCUCUAGAGAGAGAGAGACUGUGGGAUGGCCCAGUGGGUAAAGGUGCUUGCGGCCAAACAUGAAGACCCAAGCUUGAUCCCUAAGACUCCUAAUGGUGGAACUCAAGAGUCCGACUCUGGCAAGUUGUCUUCUGACCAUGCUCACUGUGACACACACACAAACCACACACGCACACACACACACACAUACACACACACAAACCACACACAUACAUACACACAUACACACACAAACCACACAUGUACACACACACACACAUGCAUGCACAUAUAUGCAAUGUUAUAAAAAUGAGACGAACUUGUUGUUGUAAAAAUAUAAGAAUAAAAAUGUAUCGGUGUCUUUUAUUCCACUAGGUCCGCACAGCGGUGCCUAAGAUGUCUGCUAGAUAUCUUGGUGGAAACACAUCCCCACUCC